UCAUAAUCUUAUGUGAUUGUAGUUUUUACUAAUGAAGAAUGUUUAAAGGUGUCAAAAAGCCGGGUGUUAGAGCCAAGCGGUCUCGUUUCACACCACCGAGACGGUCCACGAGUUCCUAUUAGGCUGGAAGACUCUAUUUUUGAAACAGUGUGUGAUCGUCCCCAUCUAGUGGCUCUAAAACAGAUUGAGAUAGCCCCCAAGUGGACAGUGGGAAGCCCUACCUGCAAACCUACUCUACAAACAGGCUGCUAAGCCCAGGAAGACAGAGAAAGAACACACAUCAGUACCACUCUCCUUGAAAUAUAAGGCCACAUGGGAAAUGCUGGCCUAUGGUGCGGGAGGAGGGUAGAUACCCAAACCAGGAUUAAAAAGCCAACCGACCCUAUUUACACGUAAGAUAUUGGUUCUCUCCUCUCUUCUUCCCACCCCACCCCAGGUUCUCACUGGGCUGCCUAGAACUCAGUAUAUAGACCAGACAUGCUCCAAUCACCACCUACAUGCCUGAAGCUGAAUUUGGAAUUCUCAGCCACUUUGGCACCUGCUCUAGAACAACUACGGUGAUAGGCAGAGAACAAGUCCCCACCCGCUUGUCUCCCAUCCCAGCCCUGCCACUCACUGAGGGGCAUGCAUAGCUCCAUGUAGACACCCUGGUUUCUAUCCAAGCUCUAGUCACACAUCCUGAUGCCCUUCAGAUGCCAGCACCCAGGUGCCCUUUGGACAAUCACAGUGUGUCCUGUGAAAAUGAACCCAGAGAAGUAGGACCUUGGUAUAUAAUGCAGACUGACCCCAAAUGCUUGCUCUUUCUACCACCGCCUCCCACAUGCUGGGAUUACAGGCCAGUCACAAGGUGCGUUGGGAAGACAACAUCCUGUUCUUGAGAAGCUUGAAUUGAUGGUCACACCUGAAACAUCAAAGGCUUUAGAAGCUGAAUCGGAUCCACUGUAUUCAUCUAACAACAUCCCCUUUGGCUUACCCAGAGGAGUCAUCAGUGGAAAGUUCUAAUGCAAUAGCCAUUUCAUGUAUGGCUCUAAGAAAGUGCCCCAUCCAAGAAAACAAGGGCAAUCUGUGCCCCUCCCCACCAUACCUUGGCCUGUUUCCACAUUCUUUAACUAUACUAGCUAACAAGCUGAGGAAUAUAACUGAAGUAUGUUCCUAAGUUCUGUGAGCCAUUCUGGCAAAUUAUCGACCCUGAGAAGGAAGUGGUGGGUGUCUCAAAUUGAACACAAAGAAGAUACCACACUUGCCUGCCUACUUCUUUGAUGUGUGCCUUUUUUCCCAAAGUCAACUUUUUCAUGUUAUUUCACAGUAAAAUCUGCUUCUCCUCUGACUCAGACAAACCAUUUCUGACCACAGUCUUCAUAUUUGAGUCCUACUGUUUCAAAACUCCUACCAAGGAUUGGUAGGUGGAUUUACAUAUGAG
Molecule: long non-coding RNA, 1420 nt
Filed under: Cricetulus griseus (Chinese hamster)
Lineage: Eukaryota; Metazoa; Chordata; Mammalia; Rodentia; Cricetidae
Description: lncRNA (ENSCGRG00015030097.1)
Source: RNAcentral